RNAcentral lists this ribosomal RNA (825 nucleotides) under Rotylenchus goodeyi. Its description in RNAcentral is "SSU rRNA". The record is from RNAcentral. Lineage: Eukaryota; Metazoa; Nematoda; Chromadorea; Rhabditida; Hoplolaimidae.
AUGCAUGUAUAAGUAUAACCUGCCAGACAGGGAAACUGCGUACGGCUCAUUACACCAGCCUUAAUUUACUUGACCUUGACAACCUACUUGGAUAACUGUGGUAAUUCUAGAGCUAAUACAUGCACCAAAGCUCCGAUCCCUUGYGGAGAGGAGCGCAUUUGUUCGCCACAAAACCAAGCGCCCUCACGGGCGUUCAGUGUUGACUCAGAAUAACUAAGCUGAUCGCACGGUCUUGCACCGGCGACGUGUCUUUCAAGUGUCUGCCUUAUCAACUUUCGAUGGUAGUGUACCUGACUACCAUGGUGAUGACGGGUAACGGAGGAUCAGGGUUCGACUCCGGAGAAGGGGCCUGAGAAAUGGCCACUACGUCUAAGGAUGGCAGCAGGCGCGCAAAUUACCCACUCUCAACGCGAGGAGGUAGUGACGAGAAAUAACGAGACCGUUCUCACAAGAGGCCGGUCAUCGGAAUGGGUACAACACAAACCCUUUAACGAGUAUCUAUGAGAGGGCAAGUCUGGUGCCAGCAGCCGCGGUAAUUCCAGCUCUCAAAAUGCAUAGAAUUAUUGCUGCGGUUAAAAAGCUCGUAGUUGGAUCUGUGCUGGUCGCCCGGUCCACCCUCUGCGGUGCGCACUGGUGCGGCUGGCUUUCCUGUCCGCUUCCUCACCGGCGUUGGCCUUCAUCGGCAGGCGUCGGCGGGCGGACGAGUUUACUUUGAACAAAUCAGAGUGCUUCACACAGGCGUUUCGCUUGAAUGUUCGUGCAUGGAAUAAUAGAAGAGGAUUUCGGUCCGAUUUUAUUGGUUUUGCUGACCGAGAUAAUGGUUAA